AUGAACGCUGGCGGCGUGCUUAACACAUGCAAGUCGAACGAUGAUGGGAGCUUGCUCCUGGAUUAGUGGCGAACGGGUGAGUAACACGUGAGUAACCUGCCCUUAACUCUGGGAUAAGCCUGGGAAACUGGGUCUAAUACCGGAUAUGACUCCUCAUCGCAUGGUGGGGGGUGGAAAGCUUUAUUGUGGUUUUGGAUGGACUCGCGGCCUAUCAGCUUGUUGGUGAGGUAAUGGCUUACCAAGGCGACGACGGGUAGCCGGCCUGAGAGGGUGACCGGCCACACUGGGACUGAGACACGGCCCAGACUCCUACGGGAGGCAGCAGUGGGGAAUAUUGCACAAUGGGCGCAAGCCUGAUGCAGCGACGCCGCGUGAGGGAUGACGGCCUUCGGGUUGUAAACCUCUUUCAGUAGGGAAGAAGCGAAAGUGACGGUACCUGCAGAAGAAGCGCCGGCUAACUACGU
This 464-nucleotide ribosomal RNA is filed under the name uncultured bacterium. Its description in RNAcentral is "bacterial SSU rRNA". It matches the Rfam family "Bacterial small subunit ribosomal RNA", at positions 29 to 506 of the family's 1533-position model. The record is from RNAcentral.